GACGAACGCUGGCGGCGUGCUUAACGCAUGCAAGUCGAACGAGACGAUUGAAAGCUUGCUUUUGAAAGUCGAGUGGCAAACGGGUGAGUAACGCGUAGACAACCUGCCUUUGAGAUGGGGACAACAGUUCGAAAGGACUGCUAAUACCGAAUGUUGUAUAUUUUCCACAUGGAAGAUAUAUUAAAGAUGGCCUCUAUUUAUAAGCUAUCGCUCAAAGAUGGGUCUGCGUCUGAUUAGCUGGUUGGUGGGGUAACGGCCUACCAAGGCGACGAUCAGUAGCCGGUCUGAGAGGAUGAACGGCCACAUUGGGACUGAGACCCGGCCCAGACUCCUACGGGAGGCAGCAGUGGGGAAUCUUCCACAAUGGACGAAAGUCUGAUGGAGCAACGCCGCGUGAGUGAAGAAGGGUUUCGGCUCGUAAAGCUCUGUUGUCGGGGACGAAUGUGCAGUAUUUGAAUAAAGUACUGCAAUGACGGUACCUGACGAGGAAGCCACGGCUAACUACGUGCCAGCCGCCGCGGUAA
RNAcentral lists this ribosomal RNA (524 nucleotides) under uncultured bacterium. Its description in RNAcentral is "partial 16S ribosomal RNA". It matches the Rfam family "Bacterial small subunit ribosomal RNA", at positions 28 to 523 of the family's 1533-position model. The record is from RNAcentral.